Molecule: RNA transcript, 2591 nt
Organism: Panicum virgatum (switchgrass)
Lineage: Eukaryota; Viridiplantae; Streptophyta; Magnoliopsida; Poales; Poaceae
Gene name: plant UBX domain-containing protein 8-like
Exons: 11
Source: RefSeq, a predicted model, not a curated record
CUCGCAGAGAGAUCCGCAGAACUAAUAAACAGCCGGGCUCUCUCCGCUCACCCUUCGCGCACCGCCCCUCCUAUCCUCUCUCCCCGCCUCCCUCUCCUCGGCGCCGCGUCGCCUCCGGACCCUCUCGCCAUGGCGAGGCCGCCGCAGGAGGCGAUCGACACCUUCGUCAGCAUCACGGGGGCGGACGAGGCCCUGGCCGUCCGCAGGCUCGAGGAACAUGGUGGUGACCUCAAUCGGGCCAUCAACUCUCAUUUCAAUGAAGGAGACAGCGCGCUGAAUGCAAUCAAUCAAAACACUGUAACUGCUAGUCGUGAUGAUAUGAUGGAUGUGGAUGGACCACUUGAUAAUACAUUCCAAAGAUCUUUGUUCCCAGAGAAUUUCCGUGAUCCUUUUGCACUGAUGGAUCCAAAUUUUCAGCAACAAUUUUUCGACAGAAUUGGUGCCACUGAUAGUGUCAGUCUUGGGCCGCUGGUUUCACACCCUAGAGAGGUGAGAGAGAUUCCUAUCGAAGUUAAGGAGGGUGAUCCUCACACAGGUCCAUCUGGUCAGGCCCCUGUUAUUGAGGAUGUUACUGGAAAUGAGUCUUCACUUGGCCCUGAAGUUCAUGAAACUGUCAUAAUUGAUGAUGAGGAUGACAUGUUGCCAUCGGCACUGUCUGCUCCGCAUGCUAAUAUCCCUAGCAACACAUCUUCUGUGCCAACUGCUCCUCCAUUGGUUCAUGUUAAUGAUUAUGAUGAUGACAUAGAAGAGGAAAUGAUUAGGGCAGCAAUUGAAGCUUCAAAGAAGGAUGCUGAAGGACUGGAAAAUAUAGUAGAGCGAGGAGGAGAUCAACAUCCAGAGGGCGUGAACUUGGGAGAGCAUUCUUCUGCAGACAUGGGAACUGCAGAUGGAACAGUUGGAAGGCAAGGACUAGCUUCAGGAAAGGCUGGAACAUCUAGGCAACCCAUAGAUGAAGAGAGCUUGCAAGAGGAUACUGAAGAUGUAGAAGAACAACCGUUGGUUAGACGUCGUUCUAGGCGUGUUCCUUCUGAAAGCACUGAGUUAGCACCAAUGGUGCAACCAGGUCCUAGCCCUGUCCUGAACAAUCGCCAGUCUAAUGGAGAUGAUUUCCCAUCUGAGUGGGGUGGCAUUUCUUCUGAGGAACAUGAUGAAGCUGUUAUGCUUGAGGCUGCAAUGUUUGGUGGAGUUCCUGAAGGACCAACAUAUCCUUUCUCCAUGCCUUCUCACAGAAGCUCAACUUAUUAUCCCCCACUGGCGCAUUCUCCUUCACCAGCAUUAACCGAACAACGGUUAUUACGAGAGCAGCAGGAUGAUGAAUACCUUGCAUCUCUACAAGCUGACCAAGAAAAGGAAUUAAAGGCCUUAGAGGAGGCUGAGCUCCGCCGCCUAGAAGAAACGGUUGCGAGAGAAGCUGCUCUUGAAAAACAGAAGCAGGAGGAGCAGGAAAGGCGUAAAAAGCAACUUGAGGAAGAGGAGCUAGAGUCCAAUCUCGCAUCCAAGCAAGCAUCAUUACCGUCAGAACCACCUCCGGACAUAGAAGGUGCUGUGACAGUUGUGGUUCGCAUGCCUGAUGGUAGUCGACAGGGGCGUCGCUUUCUCAAAACUGAUAAGUUUCAGUUUCUAUUUGACUUCUUAGACAUUGGGAGGACUUUUAAGCCAGGGACCUACAGAUUGGUAAUCCUCUACCAUUGUAUUUUAAUAAAAUUUUGUAUGUAUAUUGAAAAAAACUCUCCAGUUUCGUGCUUUCGCAAGUUAAGGGUUACUUUCAUGAUUAGUCAGGACACUCCGACUUUUGAUCAAUUUCUCAUGCAGGCUUCUGUAGCAUUAAACAUAAGGCUAUAGAUUAAAUCGCAUGGAUUGAAGGGAAAGAUUAGCUGUGCCAACUGAGUGUUUGAUGACCCUGCUCACACUGUUCUUCGUUGUUCGAGAAAAAAAGUGCUUGAUGUCCCUGUAUUUUUGACCUUGUAAUUUUUAUGCUUCUGACACUGAGGUGCUUUGAGUUAGCAGCACCAACAAAUUCAUUUUUUGCACCAUGGAACAUGUUAAACACUAGCCACACAAUGCAGCACCAGAUACUGUUAAUGCUAUUCGGGCUUCUUUGAGCUGCUAGGAGGGGGGAUAGCAUUAUUUGCCAUGCUGCAGUACAGGACAUAGCCUCUGCGGCACUUCAUCCAGGUCAGGACAUACCCGAGGCGCACCUUUACCACCAGCGAGGGUGACGUAUCAUUCAGUGAUCUCGGCCUCACAAGCAAGCAAGAAGCCCUAUUUCUAGAACAGAUCACAGAAUAGUGCCCUGUGUCCUAGGCAUGGUUAGAGAGAGAUGCCAUCUGGACUUGGGAGGUUUUACAUUUUUAUACUUGUGCCUUGUAUCUGUAAAGAUUCAGUCCGUCAAAUGGUUCGGUUGAAGAAAGGUUAAAUUCUUUUGUGGCGACACUUUGCGCCCCAAAUGUUUUACUGUGUUAUAUGUGCCAGCUAAGAAAAGGUUCAUGUCAGAGUAAACCGUGGAGGGCAUAUGGGGCCAGGAUAUGUAUGCAAUGUGAAACCUUGUGCCUGUGCAUUAUCAUUCAUCUCAAAGAGCCCCCCUCUGCAAA